CUUUUACACGCCUUAGUGGCGGACGGGUGAGUAACGCGUGGGUAACCUGCCUUACACUGGGGGAUAACACUUAGAAAUAGGUGCUAAUACCGCAUAAGCGCACGAAGCCGCAUGGAUUUGUGUGAAAAACUCCGGUGGUGUAAGAUGGACCCGCGUCUGAUUAGCUUGUUGGCGGGGUAACGGCCCACCAAGGCGACGGUCAGUAGCCGGCCUGAGAGGGCGGACGGCCACAUUGGGACUGAGACACGGCCCAAACUCCUACGGAAGGCAGCAG
This 274-nucleotide ribosomal RNA is filed under the name uncultured bacterium. RNAcentral describes it as "partial 16S ribosomal RNA". It matches the Rfam family "Bacterial small subunit ribosomal RNA", at positions 80 to 354 of the family's 1533-position model. The record is from RNAcentral.